This is a long non-coding RNA of Patiria miniata (bat star), 233 nucleotides long. RefSeq lists it as uncharacterized. NCBI's taxonomy places the organism in Eukaryota, Metazoa, Echinodermata, Asteroidea, Valvatida, Asterinidae. The transcript has 4 exons. The record is from RefSeq and is a predicted model, not a curated record.
GGAAGGAGAAUCAGAUGAAGCGAUUGCGAUCCCGCCACCGCCAACGGGUGAACAUCUGCAGCCGCCCCCAUCGACAUCUUCUUCAGCGGUUCAACCAUUCCAAACGACCGCAGCCGCCAAACCAGCCCAACUACCUCCACCGACCUCACCGGCCUCAACAGCCACACCGGCCUCACAGGCAGCAUCGGCCACACCAGCCAUACCGGCUACACUAGCUCCACCGGUCGGUAUGG